AAGCGGUGGAGCAUGUGGUUCAAUUCGACGCAACGCGCAGAACCUUACCAGCCCUUGACAUGGGACUCGCCGGGAGCAGAGACGCUCCCUUCCGGUUCGGCCGGAGUCCGCACAGGUGCUGCAUGGCUGUCGUCAGCUCGUGUCGUGAGAUGUUGGGUUAAGUCCCGCAACGAGCGCAACCCUCGUCUCCAGUUGCCAUCAGGUUAAGCUGGGCACUUUGGAGAAACUGCCGGUGACAAGCCGGAGGAAGGUGGGGAUGACGUCAAGUCCUCAUGGCCCUUACGGGCUGGGCUACACACGUGCUACAAUGGCGGUGACAAUGGGAAGCAAUGGCGCGAGCCGGAGCCGAUCCUUAAAAACCGUCUCAGUUCGGAUUGCACUCUGCAACUCGAGUGCAUGAAGGUGGAAUCGCUAGUAAUCGAGGAUCAGCAUGCCUCGGUGAAUACGUUCCCGGGCCUU
RNAcentral lists this ribosomal RNA (459 nucleotides) under uncultured Rhodospirillales bacterium. RNAcentral's name for it is "bacterial SSU rRNA". It matches the Rfam family "Bacterial small subunit ribosomal RNA", at positions 927 to 1382 of the family's 1533-position model. Lineage: Bacteria; Pseudomonadati; Pseudomonadota; Alphaproteobacteria; Rhodospirillales. The record is from RNAcentral.